GUGGUCACCAAGCUAGAGUGUGAGAGGAGUGCUCUGGAAACGCAACUCGCUAAAGUCAAGUUGGAGGCAGGCACUCUAAGCUCCACCUUGCAGAAGCAGGAGGAAGAGAACAGGAGGCUCAUGGGAAAGCUGGUUGCCAUGGAGCACCAGCAGAAUGCUCAGCAGCAGGUGGAGCAGAUGCUGAAGGAGCUGACGGACAGUAAGAACAACCUGACCUAUGAGAAAGGGAAG
Coregonus clupeaformis (lake whitefish) is the source of this 231-nucleotide long non-coding RNA. RefSeq lists it as uncharacterized. The record is from RefSeq and is a predicted model, not a curated record. The transcript is spliced from 3 exons. NCBI's taxonomy places the organism in Eukaryota, Metazoa, Chordata, Actinopteri, Salmoniformes, Salmonidae.